RNAcentral lists this long non-coding RNA (399 nucleotides) under Androctonus crassicauda. Lineage: Eukaryota; Metazoa; Arthropoda; Arachnida; Scorpiones; Buthidae. The record is from RNAcentral.
AAUUAUCGUAAUUUUAUGCAGUCAAAUUGUUUUUCAGUGUCAGAGGUAAAAAAUUUCUUUUUACUUCUGACACUGAAAAACAAUUCAGUUGUUGGUUCGGUCAGUUAUCGUUUUAGUUUUUCCAAAAAAAAAAAAAAAAAAAAAAAUGAUCAUAAUCUGUUAUGGCAGUGGUGGGAGAGUUAAGCCACUUGAGAUGGGGAGAAAUGAUCAGUGGAUCAACUCUCCUCACUGUUGCUCAGGAAGAGCCCAAUACUUUUAUUAUUAACUAUUUUAUUUUAAUUUUUAGGAAGAGAUGCGAGAACUUUUUGUCCCGAAUGUACAGACAGGUAGGCGGAGCUACGCCAGAAAUUCACUUCACAUUUUAUUAUUAUUUUUGAUUUUGCAGGUUUUUCUUUCUAU